UACGUAGGGGGCAAGCGUUAUCCGGAUUUACUGGGUGUAAAGGGAGCGUAGACGGCAAGGCAAGUCUGAUGUGAAAACCCAGGGCUUAACCCUGGGACUGCAUUGGAAACUGUCUGGAUCGAGUGCCGGAGAGGUAAGCGGAAUUCCUAGUGUAGCGGUGAAAUGCGUAGAUAUUAGGAAGAACACCAGUGGCGAAGGCGGCUUACUGGACGGUAACUGACGUUGAGGCUCGAAAGCGUGGGGAGCAAACAGG
RNAcentral lists this ribosomal RNA (253 nucleotides) under Fusicatenibacter saccharivorans. RNAcentral describes it as "partial 16S ribosomal RNA". It matches the Rfam family "Bacterial small subunit ribosomal RNA", at positions 524 to 776 of the family's 1533-position model. The record is from RNAcentral. Lineage: Bacteria; Bacillati; Bacillota; Clostridia; Lachnospirales; Lachnospiraceae.